Molecule: ribosomal RNA, 441 nt
Filed under: uncultured bacterium
Lineage: Bacteria
Description: partial 16S ribosomal RNA
Rfam family: Bacterial small subunit ribosomal RNA
Source: RNAcentral
CCUUCGGGGGACAGCAGUGGGGAAUAUUGCACAAUGGGGGAAACCCUGAUGCAGCGACGCCGCGUGAGUGAAGAAGUAUUUCGGUAUGUAAAGCUCUAUCAGCAGGGAAGAAGAAAGACGGUACCUGACUAAGCAGCCCCGGCUAACUACGUGCCAGCCGCCGCGGUAAUACGUAGGGGGCAAGCGUUAUCCGGUUUUACUGGGUGUAAAGGGAGCGUAGACGGCUGGGCAAGUCUGACGUGAAAGCCCAGGGCUCAACCCUGGGACUGCUUUGGAAACUGUGGGGCUAGAGUGCUGGAGGGGUAAGUGGAAUUCCGAGUGUAGCGGUGAAAUGCGUAGAUAUUAGGAGGAACACCAGUGGCGAAGGCAGCUUACUGGACAGUAACUGACGUUGAGGCUCGAAAGCGUGGGGAGCGAACAGGAUUAGAUACCCCUGUAGUC